Molecule: long non-coding RNA, 2091 nt
Filed under: Coffea arabica (coffee)
Lineage: Eukaryota; Viridiplantae; Streptophyta; Magnoliopsida; Gentianales; Rubiaceae
Description: long non-coding RNA (CARA_LNC001797)
Source: RNAcentral
AUAUGCAUUUCAUCGAAAGCCCGAAUAGCCUGCCGUGUGAGACCAGCAGAAAUCAACCUUCUAAUCAGGAUAUAAAAUGUGGUAAAAUUAGGCCUAAGAUUGUUGCUUUCCUGGUCCAUCUGGACAAUGAGUUGCCAAGCAACAUCAAACUGGCGGACUUUGCAGAGACUAUCCACAAGGAGGUUGAAAGCGGUGGUGUCAUGGCAAUAGGAAGGAUGGUGGAACUGACAAUAUUGGAAAAAGGCAAGGGCAACUUUUGAAGAGUGAUGAAGGCGAAGGAGAAUUUGGUGGACUAAGGAGGUUGUGAGAGUGAUUCCAUUGAGCUGGAAAGAGGAUUCUGUGGCGUGGAAAGGGUUGUGGUGUUGGAGAAUGAUUUGGGAUAUUAAAUCAGCAUUUUUUGAUGGUUCAAUUGUUGGAAGUAUGGGUUUGGGCUCAGUCUCCAAGUGCCAUAUUUGCGGUGGUGGUGGUAGCCGCUGUUCAGAGUCAGAAAAUGAAGAAAAAGAAUAAGUAGGCAAGAGUUUGGGGAGAAAAAUGUUCAUCUGCAUUGAAAAGGAUCGGCCCAAAUUCAAAAGUAGUGCCAUUGAAAUAUACUCUUGCCUCUUCUUCUCAUGAGGUGAAUAAAACAACUAUGAUAGUAGUACUACUAGUGAUAACUUCAUCCAUCACCCAUCAGCAUCACCCAAUUAGCAUCACAUCUAAUCAUUCAGGGCAGACAGUCAAACCCAGACAAAUUGAGGACAAAGGCUUGAAGAGAUCAUCUUGAAACUCCCUGAUCACGAUCACCUGAACAUACAGUAAGAUGAAGAAAAAUAAGUGAAUCAAAUCAAGAUGAAAACAACCAGAUGUUUCCAAAUAAGUGGUCAGUUGUUGGUGAGCAAUGCUUCCAAAUGGAUUUGGAGUAGGAACCAUUGUCAACCAGAGCCAUUUGCAUCUAUUUGGUUCGCAAUGGGUUAUACAACAUGAGACGAGUUUUAGAUACCAAUAGACAAAUACAAAUUUGAUAAGUACAACAUUUAGUAUAUACCACAUGAAGUACAUACAUUCAUAAAACUCGACUUUACAUAUUUAAGAUUCCAAUUGUCAACCAGUUUUGGUCAAAAACCUGCAGCAAUGCCGGUGGCCAAUAUUGGGACAGCUUGAAUUUUCAAGUUACAAGAUCAUUCAUAAAAACCCGUCUUCUGAGUCUCAAAGAGCACAUACAACCACAAAAACAGUAAGAGAGAGAGAGAGAGAGAGAACACAUGAAUUUUUAAGGUACUGAAAACUUGCAGGAACAAGAAAUGGAUAACCUUCUACAAUUCAUAAUCUUCAGCUUAGACGUAUAUGAAGAACUAAGAUGUAAAAAGUCAAAAAAAAAAAAGAAAAUAUCACCAAUGAAAAUAAUGAGGGGAAUUAACUGAACCAACAAAGGACGAGCAAACUGAAGAGGCACAGUGCAUUGCAGUUUUGGGUAGACAAUACAGAUUCUCAUUUUGCAAACAUAUCAAGAACUUACCUCUGAGAUUACCAAUAAAGCACUCAUAGAAAACUCGAACUUACCUCUGAGAUUACCAAUAAAGCACUCAUAGAAAACUCGAACUUACCUCUGAGAUUACCAAUAAAGCACUCAUAGAAAACUCUCUUAUAGCCCAAAAGUUUUAAGACUUUAGUCCAUCAAUCAGCUUAAGAAAACCCCUGCAUACAGAAAACACUACUCUUAUCAAGAUGCUCCAAAACGUCUGCUAACACAUUCAUAGGCCAUAAUUCCUAAAAUGGAAAAUGGAGUUACAGUAAUACCGUAUAUUUCAUGCUUUACAAUAUAUGUGAAACAAGAUAUAGAUUUUUAAUCUGAAUAAAGCCUUAACUGAUACCUCCAUUUCAUUCAGGCAUUUUCACAAACAGAUUACAAGCACACACAAAAAGUUUCAUCCUCUAUCAACUACGAAAUUGAAGUUGACCACAAAAUUUCCAACGCAACCAAAAUUUCAGUCAUCUAAGAACGUAAAUGCAAGCAAAUUAGCAGGAGAGGGGAAAAAAAGAGAGAGCAUGGAUUUCAUUUAGUACCAUUUGAAGUUUGAAAGGAGGGGAAAAAUGAAUUUAGAGAUUUCGAGU